CAGUCGAACGAGGGUCCUUCGGGACUCGAGUGGCGAACGGGUGAGUAACACGUAGGGAACCUGCCCGUGCGACCGGGAGAACUUUCGGAAACGGAAGCUGAUACCGGAUAGGGACAGAGACGGCAUCGACUCUGUGUUAAAGGAGCUGAAAGGCUCCGCGCACGGAUGGACCUGCGGUGCAUUAGCUGGUUGGUGAGGUAACGGCCCACCAAGGCGACGAUGCAUAGCCGGCCUGAGAGGGCGGACGGCCACACUGGGACUGAGACACGGCCCAGACUCAUACGGGAGGCAGCAGUAGGGAAUUUUCGUCAAUGGGCGCAAGCCUGAACGAGCAAUGCCGCGUGAACGAGGAAGGUCUUCGGAUCGUAAAGUUCUGUUGAAGGGGAAAAAGAGCGGAGAGAGGAAAUGGUCUCCGAUUGAUAUUACCCUUCGAGGAAGUCACGGCUAACUACGUGCCAGCAGCCGCGGUAAUACGUAGGUGGCGAGCGUUAUCCGGAAUGAUUGGGCGUAAAGGGUGCGUAGGCGGCCUGCUAAGUCUGGAGUGAAAGGUACCGGCUCAACCGGUACAGGCUCUGGAAACUGGCGGGCUAGAGAGCAGGAGAGGGCGGUGGAACUCCAUGUGUAGCGGUAAAAUGCGUAGAUAUAUGGAAGAACACCAGUGGCGAAGGCGGCCGCCUGGCCUGUUACUGACGCUGAGGCACGAAAGCGUGGGGAGCAAAUAGGAUUAGAUACCCUAGUAGUCCACGCCGUAAACGAUGAGGACCAAGUGUUGGGGAAGACCCAGUGCUGCAGUUAACGCAGUGAGUCCUCCGCCUGGGGAGUAUGCACGCAAGUG
This 835-nucleotide ribosomal RNA is filed under the name uncultured bacterium. RNAcentral describes it as "bacterial SSU rRNA". It matches the Rfam family "Bacterial small subunit ribosomal RNA", at positions 59 to 894 of the family's 1533-position model. The record is from RNAcentral.